ACGGGAGGCAGCAGUGAGGAAUAUUGGUCAAUGGGCGGAAGCCUGAACCAGCCAAGUCGCGUGAGGGAAGACGGUCCUAUGGAUUGUAAACCUCUUUAGCCGGGGAGCAAUAAACGCCACGUGUGGCGUGAUGAGAGUACCCGGAGAAUAAGGAUCGGCUAACUCCGUGCCAGCAGCCGCGGUAAUACGGAGGAUCCGAGCGUUAUCCGGAUUUAUUGGGUUUAAAGGGUGCGCAGGCGGUCUCUUAAGUCAGUGGUCAAAUCGUGGUGCUCAACGCCAUCCCGCCAUUGAUACUGGGAGACUUGAUUGCGGUCGAGGUUGGCGGAAUUCGUCGUGUAGCGGUGAAAUGCAUAGAUAUGACGAAGAACACCGAUUGCGUAGGCAGCUGACCAGGCCGUAAAUGACGCUCAUGCACGAAAGUGCGGGGAUCGAACAGGAUUAGAUACCCUGGUA
RNAcentral lists this ribosomal RNA (453 nucleotides) under uncultured Porphyromonadaceae bacterium. RNAcentral's name for it is "partial 16S ribosomal RNA". It matches the Rfam family "Bacterial small subunit ribosomal RNA", at positions 341 to 792 of the family's 1533-position model. Lineage: Bacteria; Pseudomonadati; Bacteroidota; Bacteroidia; Bacteroidales; Porphyromonadaceae. The record is from RNAcentral.